RNAcentral lists this unclassified non-coding RNA (21 nucleotides) under Mus musculus (house mouse). Its description in RNAcentral is "oocyte_clustered_small_RNA6642". Lineage: Eukaryota; Metazoa; Chordata; Mammalia; Rodentia; Muridae. The record is from RNAcentral.
AAAAGAGAGCAGGUUGAGCAA